Molecule: long non-coding RNA, 1397 nt
Organism: Vespa crabro (European hornet)
Lineage: Eukaryota; Metazoa; Arthropoda; Insecta; Hymenoptera; Vespidae
Exons: 2
Source: RefSeq, a predicted model, not a curated record
ACUCUGAUGGCUCGUCGUCUCCUUCCUGCCACCACCGCCACCAUCGUUGCCUCUGCCUCUACUGCUACCGCUGAUCUUGCAGCAGUUCGCGAAUGGAGUCGCGGCACAUCCACCGUGAACGUCGUUCGAGGUAUGCGGCUCGGCUCGGCUUGGCUCGACUCGAUUCGACUCGACUCGAUUCGAUUCGAUUCGACUUGUCUCGUCUCGUCUCUUAUCAUCUAACUUCCUACCUCGUUGGAUUUUCUCGGAAAGGAGAAAAAAAAAAGCGCAAUAAUUUCGCGCGUGAGGAAGCUAUUUCGUAAGGUUCCUCCGACUUUUGACAACAAUACAAUUGGGACGAACUAUCGAGAACAUCGGCAAAAUAAUGGAACGAACGACCACACGUCAGGUGAUCCAGGAAGUAAUCGCACACAUAUCAAGGAUCGAUACCUGUACAAAAUAAAACUCUGAAUGAAGAGAAGAUGACACUUACCUGAUAUACGCAGUCAACUUUGAAGAACGAUAAAGCUGUCUUCCUCGUAAUACAAAUAGAAAAGUUUAAAAGAAUCAAAGCGGUCCUUUGAAUGGUGAUCAGCAGUUUCUAGACUCAGAGUUAUUGUUAUAUCUGGUUGCUACAUGACAGUACCAAAAUGAUCUUGGAUUUGAUGAUCGGCGAACAUCUUCCAAUCUUCAAUGAUGUCUCGAUGAAGUCUCGACAAAGUAUGUGAAACCCCCUGUACGUAUACUGAAUGUAUCCUGAGUGUAUUCCUGUCCGGUAUACCUUCAGUAUACGUAACAGGAGGCUACACCGGUCUACGAUGGAUUUCUCUCGUCACUUGGAUCAUCCUCAUCAUUAUCAUCAUCAUCACCAUCAUCCGUAUCGUCUCUUCGUAAUCUCUUCAAAUAUUUUCGAUAUAACACUUCUAUAAUGAUUUGUGCGCAAUUAGAUAUUAAGACGAUCGCUUAAUUAAAUAAUAGACGUUGUAGAUAUCGUGAUGGUUUAAAUAAGAAUAGAUUAAACAUUGUAUUAGAUUAAAUCCAAUAAUCCGAUGUAUUCAUUAUUUCAUUUCUAAACAAAUGUAAUCUCUAUGAGUCAUUCUUAUCGAAACAAUUCUGAUUGUUCUUUAUCAGGUUCAAAGUUACGUAUUAAAAUCGAAGAUUUUUAAUUACAAUGUAAAUACUUUUUAUAAAAGAGCUUAUAAUAACGUUCGUGAUAAUAUUAUUAUUUUUUGCAUUCGUAUGACCUUUAUUUUAUCAAUUAAACAAAACAUGAACAUGAAUUAAUUCUUAUCGAAUGACGAUUGUAAUAAAUAUCGACGUAUACGUACGUACGUACUUAAAUAUGACGAUUUCAGCGAAGUACAUACACGUGAUUAAUGAUGACAAAUAUAUAAAUAAAUUCUACGUUAAAUUGAAAG